Molecule: long non-coding RNA, 317 nt
Organism: Podarcis muralis (Common wall lizard)
Lineage: Eukaryota; Metazoa; Chordata; Lepidosauria; Squamata; Lacertidae
Source: RefSeq, a predicted model, not a curated record
CUGGGCCUUAGUUUGCCUACCCAUGGUGUGUAAGUUAUGCAGGGCUCCUUUAAGACUACACCCCCGUAACAUUUUCUUAAUUGUUGUAGGGAAUCGUGUGUUUCAGAAAGCCCAUGCAGUGAAGUACAGUUUGCCUCUCUGCUCACUCCUGUCAAUUCCUUCCCACCCCGCAAACUGGACUGAAGAGCAACACAGAACUGCUGAAAUCUCCCAGGAACACAGUUCUGGGUUCUCCUGCAUCACCCCUGACCACCUCCACCAGCUUGGUCAGGGAGAUCCAUCAAUGCCAUCUAAAUUAAUUAUCAUACUUACUUCCA